ACUGGCCCGAAGCAAUAACCAAUUUGCCUUGGAGCUACCCUUGCUAGGCCCAUCUCCUGGCUAGCCAAAGAGGUCCAUCAGCCACUACUUGGGCUACAAUACCUCUUUUUGCCAACUGGCUUGGACCCCCACCGAUUCAUUAUGACUGGACCACCGACGUGAUUCACCCGAUGGGGUUUUUCUCAACUGGCUCCGCCGUCGCUUUGUCCCCUGAAAUCCCAUCCGCUAGCAUGCUAGCCACGGCCUCCUAGCUGUCCAGAGCACAUCGGACUGUUAGCUUAUUAAGAGGACCACAGGACAAAUUCUUUGGCCACUAUACCUAUUCUGCCAAUUGGCCUGGUUUACCACAUGGAGCCCUGCUGAUCCGUCUGCCGAUGUAAUAGCACGAGGGGGCCACAACAGACUUUCUUCCAUCGCGACGUCCCUCCAAGACCCUUCUGUUAGCUUGCUAGCCCCGGCCCGCAAGCUGCCUAAAGCCACUCAAUUGACUCCUAUGAUCACUCGGCUACGCAUGCGUCUCGCUAACAUCAAUAUGCCUUGUCCAUUGCUGUUUUGGUUAUGAGAAUCUACCGUCUGAAGCUGAAGCAAUACCCUUUACCCAAGGACUGUACCUGAAAUGAUACAAGAUCACCGGUGAAUUGUUCAUUAGAAAAGUCCUUAUCAAUCAGUGGAACGGAAGAAGAAUUCCUCACUACCGGCAGACUGUCAGAACAUCAUUUCUAAUAGUUAUCUAUGUGGGACUGAUACCAGUGUGGAAGAGCUGAUCAAUUUUAAAGUUCUUGCUGAGUGAUUACCUUGCCAAUAGGACGAUUGAAUAUUAUAGUCUUGUAGACAAUUAUUUAUUUUGUGAGUUUCCUCCUAAUACAGGAUGUGGUAGGAAUCGUAAGGGACAUCAUCAUUACACAUGUUAAUACUUAUCUUCUAUAACUUUGUUUGAAAUCUAUUUCUUAUUGUAACAGAAAGUAAAAUAUGCCCUUUGUGUUUUAUAGAAAUGCAAGGUGUUUAAUGAAAAUUAUUUUAUGCUUACUGCUGUUUUUAAUACUGUUUUCUAAAAACACAUUUUAAGUAUAUUUCUUCUUAAAAUGGUCGAGAGGGGAGUGUAAGAACAUUUCGAAGAAAAUACACAACGCAGAGGACGAGAGGUCAAUAGAGUACUAACGAUCAAUGGAAAUAGUGUUUUUUCUGUCAUAUCAUUGGGUCAGAGACAUGGAGGAAUUUCAGUCCGGGACUCAUAGCUACAUGGCAAGCUCUCAUUUGUCCAAAUUAUUUAUACAUUGAACCUGAAAUAGUAUACUUGUUACUUGGCCAUUGGCCCAGUUUUAUUGCAAGGAAUUCUAAUUGGUCGACCACAGGCUAGGGCUGGGUUAUAAAACUACAUCCUGUCCCUUUGUUCUGUGGAGAGAACUACAGGAAAGAAUCACUGAGGACAGGGGAGCAUGAACAUCUACCAUCUACCUCCCCGGAUGAUGUGUUCUCUUUGAAUAAACCUAUUUUCCUCCCCCUGAUUUGCUUUGGGGUCUGUGUUAUUGAAGCAUUGUCACGUCCUGACCAGUAAAAGGGGUUAUUUGUUAUUGUAGUUUGGUCAGGACGUGGCAGGGGUGUGUUUGUUUAGUAUGUUUCGGGGUUUUUGGUUUAUGUUUUCUAUUUCUAUGUGGGUUUUUUAGUUUGUCUAUUUCUAUGUUAGUUUUGGGAACGACCUCCAAUUAGAAGCAGCUGGUUGUCGUUGCUUCUAAUUGGAGGCCAUAUUUAAGUGGGUUUAUUUUCUCUUGUGUUUGUGGGUGGUUGUUCCAUGUAUAGUCUUAGUACCUUACAGGACUGUUUUUCGAUGUUCUUUUGUUCAGUGUUCAUUUCUUUAAUAAAUCAAGAAGAU
This 1870-nucleotide long non-coding RNA is filed under the name Salmo salar (Atlantic salmon). RNAcentral describes it as "lncRNA (ENSSSAG00000083167.1)". The record is from RNAcentral. Lineage: Eukaryota; Metazoa; Chordata; Actinopteri; Salmoniformes; Salmonidae.